UGCCAGACUCCUACGGGAGGCAGCAGUGAGGAAUAUUGGUCAAUGGGCGCGAGUCUGAACCAGCCAAGUAGCGUGAAGGAUGACUGCCCUAUGGGUUGUAAACUUCUUUUAUAAAGGAAUAAAACGAGGCACGUGUGCCUUUUUGCAUGUACUUUAUGAAUAAGGAUCGGCUAACUCCGUGCCAGCAGCCGCGGUAAUACGGAGGAUCCGAGCGUUAUCCGGAUUUAUUGGGUUUAAAGGGUGCGCAGGCGGAAUGUCAAGUCAGCGGUAAAAUUUCGGGGCUCAACCCCGUCGUGCCGUUGAAACUGGCGUUCUUGGGUGAGCGAGAAGUAUGCGGAACGCGUGGUGUAGCGGUGAAAUGCAUAGAUAUCACGCAGAACUCCGAUUGCGAAGGCAGCAUACCGGCGCUCAACUGACGCUCAUGCACGAAAGCGUGGGUAUCGAACAGGAUUAGAUACCCGCGUA
This 465-nucleotide ribosomal RNA is filed under the name uncultured bacterium. RNAcentral's name for it is "bacterial SSU rRNA". It matches the Rfam family "Bacterial small subunit ribosomal RNA", at positions 329 to 792 of the family's 1533-position model. The record is from RNAcentral.